GGUUGCGAUCAUACCAGCACUAAUGCAUCGGAUCCCAUCAGAACUCCGCAGUUAAGCGGGCUUGGGGGAGAGUAGUACUAGGAUGGGUGACCCCCUGGGAAGUCCUCGUGUUGCAACCCC
Molecule: ribosomal RNA, 120 nt
Filed under: Helianthus annuus (common sunflower)
Lineage: Eukaryota; Viridiplantae; Streptophyta; Magnoliopsida; Asterales; Asteraceae
Source: RNAcentral